This 500-nucleotide ribosomal RNA is filed under the name uncultured bacterium. Its description in RNAcentral is "partial 16S ribosomal RNA". It matches the Rfam family "Bacterial small subunit ribosomal RNA", at positions 29 to 523 of the family's 1533-position model. The record is from RNAcentral.
AUUGAACGCUGGCGGCAUGCUUUACACAUGCAAGUCGGACGGUAACAGGGAGCUUGCUCCGCUGACGAGUGGCGAACGGGUGAGUAAUGCGUCGGAACGUGCCGAGUAGUGGGGGAUAACGCAUCGAAAGGUGUGCUAAUACCGCAUACGUACUGAGGUAGAAAGUGGGGGACCUUCGGGCCUCACGCUAUUCGAGCGGCCGACGUCUGAUUAGCUAGUUGGUGAGGUAAAGGCUCACCAAGGCGACGAUCAGUAGCGGGUCGGAGAGGAUGGUCCGCCACACUGGGACUGGGACAGGGCCCAGACGCCUACGGGAGGAAGCAGUGGGGAAUUUUGGACAAGGGGCGCAAGCCUGAUCCAGCCAUCCCGCGUGUCUGAAGAAGGCCUUCGGGUUGUAAAGGACUUUUGUCCGGGAGCAAAUGCCUGGUGUUAAUAGCACUGGGAGCUGAGAGUACCGGAAGAAUAAGCACCGGCUAACUACGUGCCAGCCGCCGCCGUAA